CUCCUACGGGAGGCAGCAGUGGGGAAUAUUGCACAAUGGGCGCAAGCCUGAUGCAGCGACGCCGCGUGGGGGAUGACGGCCUUCGGGUUGUAAACUCCUUUCGUUAGGGACGAAGCCAUGCUUUUUUUGGGUGUGGUGACGGUACCUUUGUUAAGAAGCACCGGCUAACUACGUGCCAGCAGCCGCGGUAAUACGUAGGGUGCGAGCGUUGUCCGGAAUUACUGGGCGUAAAGAGCUCGUAGGUGGUUUGUUGCGUCGUCUGUGAAAUUCCGGGGCUUAACUUCGGGGUGGCAGGCGAUACGGGCAUAACUAGAGUGCUGUAGGGGAGACUGGAAUUCCUGGUGUAGCGGUGGAAUGCGCAGAUAUCAGGAGGAACACCGAUGGCGAAGGCAGGUCUCUGGGCAGUAACUGACGCUGAGGAGCGAAAGCAUGGGGAGCGAACAGGAUUAGAUACCCUGGUAGUCCAUGCUGUAAACGGUGGGCGUUAGGUGUGGGGACUAUAUUGGUUUCUGUGCCGUAGCUAACGCAUUAAGCGCCCCGCCUGGGGAGUACGGCCGCAAGGCUAAAACUCAAAGGAAUUGACGGGGGCCCGCACAAGCGGCGGAGCAUGUGGAUUAAUUCGAUGCAACGCGAAGAACCUUACCUGGGUUUGACAUGCACCAGACGGUUAUAGAGAUAUGUACCUCCCUUUGUGGUUGGUGUGCAGGUGGUGCAUGGUUGUCGUCAGCUCGUGUCGUGAGAUGUUGGGUUAAGUCCCGCAACGAGCGCAACCCUUGUCUUAUGUUGCCAGCACGUGAUGGUGGGGACUCAUGAGAGACUGCCGGGGUUAACUCGGAGGAAGGUGGGGAUGACGUCAAAUCAUCAUGCCCUUUAUGCCCAGGGCUUCACACAUGCUACAAUGGUUAGUACAAUGCGCUGCGAGCCUGUGAGGGUGAGCGAAUCGCUGAAAGCUAAUCUCAGUUCGGAUUGGGGUCUGCAACUCGACCCCAUGAAGUCGGAGUCGCUAGUAAUCGCAGAUCAGCAAUGCUGCGGUGAAUACGUUCCCGGGUCUUGUACACACGC
RNAcentral lists this ribosomal RNA (1062 nucleotides) under uncultured bacterium. RNAcentral's name for it is "bacterial SSU rRNA". It matches the Rfam family "Bacterial small subunit ribosomal RNA", at positions 336 to 1393 of the family's 1533-position model. The record is from RNAcentral.